AUUGAACGCUGGCGGCAUGCUUUACACAUGCAAGUCGAACGGUAACGGGGGAAGCUUGCUUCCUGCCGACGAGUGGCGGACGGGUGAGUAAUGCAUCGGAACGUGCCCAUGUUGUGGGGGAUAGCUCGGCGAAAGCCGGAUUAAUACCGCAUACGCCCUGAGGGGGAAAGUGGGGGAUCUUAGGACCUCACGCAAUUGGAGCGGCCGAUGUCGGAUUAGCUUGUUGGUGGGGUAAAGGCCUACCAAGGCGACGAUCCGUAGCUGGUCUGAGAGGAUGAUCAGCCACACUGGGACUGAGACACGGUCCAGACUCCUACGGGAGGCAGCAGUGGGGAAUAUUGCGCAAUGGGCGAAAGCCUGACGCAGCCACGCCGCGUGUGCGAUGAAGGUCUUCGGAUCGUAAAGCACUGUGGAGGGAGAAGAAUAAAGCCGGUGAAGAGCCGGCCUGACGGUAUCCCUUUAGCAAGCACCGGCUAACUCCGUGCCAG
RNAcentral lists this ribosomal RNA (488 nucleotides) under uncultured bacterium. Its description in RNAcentral is "bacterial SSU rRNA". It matches the Rfam family "Bacterial small subunit ribosomal RNA", at positions 29 to 511 of the family's 1533-position model. The record is from RNAcentral.